This is an RNA transcript of Neltuma alba, 1854 nucleotides long. RefSeq lists it as uncharacterized. The transcript has 5 exons. NCBI's taxonomy places the organism in Eukaryota, Viridiplantae, Streptophyta, Magnoliopsida, Fabales, Fabaceae. The record is from RefSeq and is a predicted model, not a curated record.
UUGUCAUUCUUUUGUUGCAAGAAGUUUAUAUAGUGAAAACUUCGAGAAUUGUAUUUCAUCCGCAACUAGUAUGGAUAUGAUGAGAAAGGCAAAGACUCUAUCUUUGAGGGGAAUCCUUAGUAGUUGCAAAAAUAUCAUUCCUGACCUGUGGCAAAAAAUAGGAGGAGGUAUGAAUGAGUUGACUCUCCUUGAACUUCUUGAAUCAGAUGGGAUAGAAUGCGUGAUAGGCUAUGCAGCUAAUCCAAGUCAAGUUGGAUUCAUCUCCAAUUUGACUCGUCUAGCUCUUUCAAAGCUGAAGAAUCUGAAGACUUUGAAUAGUGGUGAGCUUCCUCAAGGUCUUUUUGCAAACUUGGAGGAGCUUGAUAUAAAAAGCUGUGAUUCGCUUGAGCAGGUACUGACAGAAGAUGAGAAAGAAAUAGUUCAUGGAAGUGAAUAUCAAAGUUAUGAAAAUGCAUUCCCCAAAUUGAAAAGACUUAUAAUAUCGGAUUGCAAAAAACUAGAAUACUUAAUGCCUAUCUCUUUCGCAAAGAGCCUUACACAUUUGGAACAUUUAUAUGUGGCUGCAAGUGAUGAAUUAAGAAGUGUGUUUGGCCAAUCUCUUUAUGAAGGCUUAAAUCUAAACAGGCCUCAAAUGAUUGAGUUUUUUGCUCUGGAGUAUCUUCAACUUAGGAAAAUGCCAAAUAUCAUUAGUAUAUGUCCUGAAAAUUAUCAUCUGACGUGGCCUUCUUUGAAAUUGUUGGAUUCAUAUCAAUGUCCACGGUUAAAUAUAAAGUUUACCAAUUAUCGGGUUGCAUAUGGUGGAUUGAGACAAGAGGAUGAUCAGAUGAUUUCUGAGGACCAAUUAAAGGGGGUUUUAGCCUUUCAAGAAACUUUACAGCGACUACUUGUUUCACAUAACGAUGAAGUUGCAGUUUUUUUUUAUGUCGAACAGCUUCCUAUCAAUAGACAACAAAUUAACUUGAGUUUAUAUGAUCUUUUUUUGGUUGGUCUGCCCAAAUUAAGGCAUAUAUGGAGGGGUCCCAAAAAUUCUUUACUCCUUCAACAUCUUCAAUGGUUAAAACUAUUCAAGUGUGGAAAUUUGAAAGAAGUAUUCCCUUCAUUCAUCUUGAAAGACCUCCCGCAACUGAGGGAACUUCACAUUGAAGGUUGUGAUGAGUUGGAGAAAAUCAUUGAAGAAGAUGAUCAAAAUGUGUCAACCUCUCCACAACUUGUCUUCCCAAGACUUGCUUCAAUAAUGAUCAUAUAUUGCCAUAAGUUGAAAUGCGUAUUCCCUAAGAUCUCCACAUGUGGAGUGAUCCCAAAUCUAAAGUCACUGUUCAUAAAAGAUGCACCUGUACUAGACCAAGUAUUUGGAGAUGACACAACACACAUACCAAGAUGUCACUCCAGCAUUGAAAUAUCUUGUACUUUGGAACCUUCCCUCACUCACUUUGAUUGCUCCAUCCAUCGCUUUUCAAAAUGUGACACACAUUGAUGUGCUAGGAUGUCCCAAACUAUCUCUUGCUUCCUCUGUUACUCCUGAAGAAAUCCUUGAAGAACUGGGAAAAGAAUGUUGAAGGAGGAGCUGCAGAGUGUACUACAUCAGAGAAUGUUCAGAUUGUUACUUCAUUAGCUCAUUCAGAACCAGAAAGCUCAACCAAAAGUAUCAAUCAAAUAAUGCCUGGCUCAGAGAUAUCUGUUGCAAUGCCAACUUCAUAUUUACUUCCUCAAUCGAUUAGCAAGCCGUCAACAAGUAAUCCUGUAGAUAUAUCUCUCCCUAAAACACCUGAUGAUGAAACUGAGUUGGUCAAUACAAUAUCAACCAGUCUAUCAGGUUUGAAGGACCAGCAACAAUCACUUGCAAAAAUUGAAAUU